GACGAACGCUGGCGGCGUGCUUAACACAUGCAAGUCGAACGGAAAGGCCCUGCUUUUGUGGGGUGCUCGAGUGGCGAACGGGUGAGUAACACGUGAGUAACCUGCCCUUGACUUUGGGAUAACUUCAGGAAACUGGGGCUCAUACCGGAUAGGAGCUCCUGCUGCAUGGUGGGGGUUGGAAAGUUUCGGCGGUUGGGGAUGGACUCGCGGCUUAUCAGCUUGUUGGUGGGGUAGUGGCUUACCAAGGCUUUGACGGGUAGCCGGCCUGAGAGGGUGACCGGCCACAUUGGGACUGAGAUACGGCCCAGACUCCUACGGGAGGCAGCAGUGGAGAAUAUUACACAAUGGGCGGAAGCCUGAUGCAGCAGCGCCGCGUGCGGGAUGACGGGCUUCGGGUUGUAAACCGCUGUCGCCUGUGACGAAGCGUGAGUGACGGUAAUGGGUAAAGAAGCACCGGCUAACUACGUG
This 468-nucleotide ribosomal RNA is filed under the name uncultured bacterium. RNAcentral describes it as "partial 16S ribosomal RNA". It matches the Rfam family "Bacterial small subunit ribosomal RNA", at positions 28 to 507 of the family's 1533-position model. The record is from RNAcentral.